UUUUUUUUUAUUGUUUUAGUAUUCUAGAUGCUCAUAUUUCUUGAUAUAAAAUUGGUCAAACUUUGUGUAGUUUGACUUUGACCAAAAUUUAUAUGCGGAGUAAAAAGAAACCGAUGAAGUACCACAUAAGCAGCCACCGAGCACACCACAUAACCAAAUCAUAUCUAUUGCCCUUCCUAUAGAAAUGGAAAAAAGCACAUUAAUCUAUUUGUGUUUAUUUCCAUGGGAUUUCUUCCCAUGAUUAAAAAUAUGCCAUGGAAAUGUGCAUGCUUUUUGGACGACGUUUAGUUAUGAAGUCUUACCCUUAAAGUCAAAUAAAUUACAGACCAUACAUCUAUUAAAUCAAUAGACUUAUAUUUGUGCACUUAUCUUAAGAUUUUGAAAUGAAUGCAAUACAUACUUGUAGUUCAAAAUCCCAAUUUGAAGAAAAUAUGACUUUGUAAUCCUUUGAGGAAAUAAAUACUAUCUAAAUGGAAAUUCAAUUCGGUGUCCGGACUCAUCUGUAACCAAUGAACAGUACAUUGAAAACAAAUUAAAAAAAUCUGAAAAUUUUACACAUGAAAGUUUAGAGAAUCUUCUAGGUAAUGUGUCAAAGUUCGAGGUGUUUGGACAUUUUAAGAGCUCGUGGCAUAAAGAACAAAAUCCGGUCUACACGGUGCACUUUUUGAAAGUUUCUUUGAGAAGCCAAUUUUGUUAUUUCUGCCACAAGCUCCUCAAAUGUUUAAACACCUUGAAAUUUUGCACGCGCCUAGAAUAUUCUCUAAACUUUCGUAUGUAAAAAUUCAGAUUUGUUUGAUGUUUUUUUUCAAUUUUACUGUUCAUCGGAAGGUGCAGCUUAGCCUGGGUGCAGAAACGUCACAUCCCUAUCUAAAAGACUACAUAUCUCUCUUUCCAUACUUAAUUAUAGUCCCGCUAGCUCUAUGUAUCAGACAACGCAUGGUACCGAUAUGAGACUGUGGGUGGCCUCUUCCUACUCCUAACUAUGAUACCACGCUUGGGUUGUUGUGGAUGGGUCACGCGACGAUACCAUUGCUUUGCAAGGUGUCAUGUUGGCCAUAGGUGCGCUAGCAGCGGACCCUGUCACGCCACAUACAUUAAUAUUGCGGUGAUGGCUAAAUUAGUUUCAGUAGAUUCACCAUUAAAUAUAUGUUUGUAUCGUAUGUACACGGCGAUAUACAUUUUAAGAUUCUUUUCAUAAAUUUGAUUAAACUAUAAAUGUCUGACUUAAGAUAACGCUAAAACUUUAGUUAGGGUUCCUUCGAUUCAAAAUAAUUUUAUAGGAUUCGAAUCUUUAGAAAAUUUCCCUAGAUAGCAUGUUUAAUUCAUAGGAUUGGAAUCCUUAGAAAGAAUUCCAAAGGAUUGCUUUGCACUUUGUUUUAAAGGAAAUUUUCCACCCACUCAAAACUACUUUUAUAAUUCCUUGUUUUUCCUACUAUUUGGCAUCAAGCACUCUAUGGAGGUGUGCGCUCGUUUCUCCUUCUUGAAGAAAAAAGAGGGGAAAACCUAGGCUCUAUCUCACAAAAGAAAUAAAACCCUUUUCACCUCAGCCAAAUAGUAGAUGACACGUGGCCCUCACAUCCCUCUUGAAAAGGAAAAACCUCACUUUCAUAUUAAAAAAGGAAAAACAAAACUUUUCUAAAAACACAUUCCACCGUGGUCAACCAGCAGGUGCCACUUGGUAUAGUUGGUCGGUCGCUCUUUCUUUUCUCUUUAAUGGGUUUAAUUCCAAUAAUUUGCUUAUCCUAUAGAAUUCAAGUGUGUUUGUAACUCGAAUCUUAUGUUUUUCCUAUUCUUUUUUUUUCUAUUCCUACUAAUCAAAUAUCUAAAAUCUAACCAUGUGAUAGGACUACUUGGGAAAGCAAUGAAUGAGAGAGUGUAGUUGUCCUUGACAUCAUGACCGCUGCUCAACAUAAUAUGACCGGUCACUAUUGUCGUGGGGUGUGUGCCUGGCAAACCAGAAUGCAGUGUUUAAAUGCGGCAUGGCCCAUGUUGGGCACAAUUUGGAUAAUAUAAGUUAUUUAGGUAGACUUAUACAAUUCUUUUCACAUUGGAUGGAGACUUUGUGAGCCAACUCAAUUCUCCCACAUCACAAAAAAGUAGUCCAUGCGCAACGCCUGGGUAACACCAUAUCUAACCUUUGUCAUUCUUUGCCAUAUUAAGAUUACAGACUAAUUGCAAAAGUCAUCUAACUUUCGCUAUGUGCAUCUACCCUCUGCUAGGCUCUCAAGCAACAUACCGCCAAAAUAAAAAUACAUUAGAGACAAAAAUGAAGACACAAUCAAUCCAUACACAACGUUUGAGAUCAAUCAUAUUGUCUAUUUAUCUCUACUACUAUAGUGUAGCAGUUUUGAAUUUGAAUUUACCACUUCCCUCCCAGCUUCCCGCCAAAACGCUUUUGAGGUGCUUGGAGCCGUUGAUUUCCCACAUUAGGUUGACAUCUACCGUUCAUCAAUUGUCAGCGCUACAUAUCCAACGGAUAGCAUGCGCCGGAUUCGCCUCUCAUGCCGUGAGUCACAGGUCCACAUUGAACCAGCUGCAGGAACCAUCUAGAAGCUUUAUAGUAUUUCCUCCUUAAGAAAAUAUAUAGAAGCUAGAAGGUUGUUCCAGAAACUUACCCGUCUGCGGCUGGCCGGCCGGUCACAAUGGAUGGAUUUUUUUAGCUUGACCGAGACAAUACCUGUCUUAUCACAUAACUAGGAGUACUACGAUUUUGAUGUAAAAGAAAAGGAGUACUACGAUUCAGCCGUAGUAGAAAAAGGGUAUGACGCACCACUAUCCAGAAUAUUUUUCUCAGCAAAGAUAGAGAUUUCUACCAAUCCAUAAACAUAGAAGAAACUAAAUAGAUGCUUCACAUUCUAAUAUGCUCACUAUGUCAUACUUCCUCUGUACCUAAAUAUAAGUCUUUUUAUAGAGAUUCCAAUAAAAACUACAUACGGAUGUAUAUAGACAUAUUUUAAAGUGUAUAAUCACACAUUUUGCUUCGCAUGUAUUCCACAUUAAAAUCUCUAUAAAGACUUAUAUAUAGGAAUGGAGGGAGUAAUUUAGAUGGUAAAGGUUUUAUUAAGCAAGGCUAAAGCUUUGCAUUUUCAUUAAAUGAGCAAGGAUUAAAGAGCAUGUACAAGGUCGUAUUAAAAAAGAGCAAACAGACUACUCUCUAGCAAAUUCACAAAAAAAACUACUCUACAGGAAUGAUCGCCCCUAAGUGUUUCACCUCGGUGACAUACCACAACCUAGCCCCUUUCUUGAUAUUGCUAAAUACAGACGUAGCCAAAGAUGCAAAAUUGCGAAAAACUCGAGCAUUCCUCAUUCAAAAUCUCCCAUGACACGCGCUUAAGAAGAUAAGCCAUGUCACUGUUUGGCUGCUCAUUUGAGUUGGCCGCUUUGGUCCACCAAGUGUGGGCGGAGUUGAAUGAUGCCAGUUUCCGAGGUCGAGGUCCUUGUUUCCAAGCCAACCUUUGAUCAUGCACUAAAUUCUUUGUGUAUAUUGGCAUUGGAAUAGGAUGUUUCCCGAGGUCUCCAUGUGACAUUUGCAAAGAUGGCAAAAGCUACAAUUAGGCUAUCCUCUUUUUUGCAAUUUAUCAUUUGCCAAGCAAAAAAAUUGCACUUUAAAGACGCCCAAGCUUUCCAAACUGUCAGCUUGAUCAACGACGAAGUCAAACCAAGAAAAUGGGCAUUGGAUGCCGAGACAGUGGAGUAGCAAGCAUUGGAGAUGAGCUUCCAAAUGCAAACAUAUAAAACUCUCCAAUGUGCUCGAUGGUUAAUUCAUCAAUCAAGCGCGUGCUUUAUAGGUUAGCGUGCAAAGCAGCGUGCAACUUACUAGUACAGUAUAUAGACCUCUCUCCACGACGUUUUGCUUAUUUUGUCACCAAAAAACAAAGUAUGGGAAUGUCUCGUGCGUCCGGCGUAUCAAAUUCCUCUUUUUUUUUUGAGGGGGCGUAUCAAAUUCCUUCUUUUUUUUUGAGGGGGCGUAUCAAAUUCCUUGUGUGAGCUCCGUUUAAGUUAACACGCUGCUGAUCCACCUAUCGAAUACCUUCGAUAUAUCUGUCAUACGAUAUACUCCACACAAAGAAGCAAUAACGGGAACAUCUGCCUCCGUGUGCAGACACGCAUUUUUCCAGGAGGAGAGCGGUGCCUUCCACGGAACUUUCCAACCCGAACCGUGGAUCGGGAUCGUACGGCCGUGAUCUCGCCACGUCCAGCCAGACGACCCCUUCGAAGCGACGCGACAGAUUCUAGAGCGCCGCCACCGUGGUCGCCGCCGGCUCCGCUCGCGCAACAGCACACGAUGCUGCGCCGCGUCGCGCCGUCGCUCCGCCGAGCCCUCGCCGCCUCCGCCGUCCCGCGCGGCGGCUGCGGCGCGCGCCUUCCCGACCCGGGCCUCUCAUCUCCCCACGCCCUACCCCCGCAAUGGCGCCGCUGGGCUUCCGCGGCCGCCGCGUCCUCGCUCCCGCCGCCUCCGCCGUCCCCUCCCCAGGGCCCGCCGCGGCACGCGGGCGGGGGGUCCGCCGCGUCCUCGCUGAACCCCGCCGAGGUGGCCAAGUUCGCCGCCAUCGCCGAGACCUGGUGAGAUCCCUCCCUGGCCCUCUGAGAUGGUGAACCCCGGUGCUUAUGCUCUGAAUGUUUGGUUAAAAUUUUGGAGCAAAUUGGAGCUGCAAAAAUUGCUGGGCCUGUUUGUAGGAUCCGAAUAGCGAAAUAGGUCUGCCACGGGUCACAAUGAUGAACAUUGUGCACAGGGAAUCAGUCACUGCUGGCAUAGCGAACACCAGAAUUAGGUGCAGCCAUGAGUUUCUUAGAAGUUAGAAUAGCCUGCAACAGCUAGUGUAGUUUGUCGACGCUUUCCAAUGAAUUUGUAUACAUUUUUGUUCUGUAGAUAUCAACAUGCCUCUAGAUAUGUUUUAUACGAGUACAUAUCAAUGUGCCUCGACAUGUUCAGGGAAUUGCAUGAAAAGUACUACGGUGUAUGGGCUACUGUACGUUGAGAAUGCCUACAUAGUUUUUCCAUGUUUAACAAUGGUUAUUAAAAUCAAAUCUGGUGUUUGGGGUCUUUCUAUUAUGUCAUCUCUGUUCUAUGAAGAAGCAUUUGCUGCCACUAUGCCAGUGCAGCACUUAGUAUGUGUGUAUGUUAAGAUGCUCAAAGUGAAGGGUGUGACAAGUUUUUCCUUUGCAUAUGAUUGGUUACUGAUGAUGAUACUUCUUCUGGAAUAAACAGGUGGGAUUCUCAAGGUCCAUUCAAACCAUUGCAUUUGAUGAAUCCGACAAGACUAUCUUUUAUUCGCUCCACACUCUGUAGACAUUUCAGGUACAUUUAAUGUAUCCUGUAUUUUGUUUUCUGUGGAGCAUUGCUGUUGUGGUUGUUAGUUUUUCUUUUCCCCCGAAGAGAAGACAAGUGCUGGACUGCCUAUUGUACCGUUCCUUAUUCCGUAUUGUGAUUAUUUUCCCGUUCCUCAGUUCUCAUCAUCAAUAUCGCUGCCUUUUGUUGUAUUUUGCCUAAGUUCAUCCUACGGUAUCCACAUCUGUUCUACUUUGUCUAAAGUUAAUUCUUCCAGGAGGGAUCCAUAUUCCGCUAAGCCACUUGAAGGUCUUAAAGUUAUUGAUGUUGGAUGUGGAGGUGGCAUUCUCUCAGAGGUAUAAAGCUUUGUCAGCCAAUUUUUUUAAUAAUUAAAACCUUCUGGUGGUUUACAUACUAGAUGGUAAAUACCCUUUGAGGGUUUUUCAUCUGUGUGAAAGGGAGAAUUAAGUCAUCUAGUUCACUGAUAUAGAAAUGGAUAAUGGAUAUGCAAUAUUUUCCUUCUUACUUGUCAUAUUUUUUUAAUGUCAGGUAUCACAUUAUGCAACUUACUCACAUUGAACUUUUAGAUUUAAAUUCAUAUUCACAACUAUAGCUAUCUUCAGCAUUUUGACUUACUAGUCUCUAUAGCCUAUAAUGAAUGUCUUAUACUACCCAUGGUAUGUUCCCCUUGCCUACAGCCUGAGUUAAGCUUAUUGAUGUGUACUUAUUGCAUUUCUAAUCUAGAUAUAUACUCCCCCCUUUCCAGAAUACUAAGUGCUAGGUGUGUCCUAACUUUAUAGAAAACUUUGCUAAUAUGUGUGUGUGUGUGUGUGUGUGUGUGUGUGUAGUAGUAGUAGAUAUUGGCAUAUUUUUCUACAAACCUGGUCGAACUUAAAGAAGUUAGACUUAGGACAAACCGCAGAACUUCAAGUACUUUUGAACGGAGGGAGUACUAACUAGUUGGUUUGAAAGUGUCAGUCUUUGCCUCGGAUCAAAGUCUUUGUAGUGUUACAAUGCAAUUUGGACUUUGACAUGUGUUUUCUUCUGUGAUUGAACUGCCGGAUAAAAUAUUUGUUGACCUUUUGGAUCAUCUUUGUUGGAUGGCAGCCUCUUGCUCGGAUGGGAGCGACAGUUACUGGUAUUGAUGCUGUUGACAAGAAUAUAAAGAUUGCGCACAUUCAUGCCGUAUGUAUUACUCAUCUUCAUGUCAAUUGUUUAGUAGAAAUAGCUGUGCUUAUUUUCUUGUCACUUAUUUUAUGUAUAAUUUAGACGAGAAAGGUAUACUGCUAAGUUUUAUUUAUUGGCUUCCUGCUGAUAACUGUGAAACAUAUAAUGCUAAUAAAUAUGGUCUUAUUCAUACUUUGCCUGAUGAUAUAGCACAUGAUAACUAUGCAUGCAGUAUUAAGCCUUUUAGGACUGAUGACUUCCAUGUUUUUUUCUUUGCCUUUUAACUUUAGUCCUUUACUCAUGUAAACAUCAAAUGCCCCUAAAAGUGCAUCGAUUGUUCAUGAUUUUACACUGCCGGAAUUGCCAGAACCAUGAUGGAUUUAUUACAUUUUUCACCAAUGAUUUUUGCUUCAUACCUUUGCAGGCAUCUGAUCCAACAACUGCUUCCAUUGAGUAUUGCUGCACAACCGCUGGUAAUGACUUCCAGGGCAUAUUCCAGUGACAGUUAGUUAUGUAGCUCCACUAUGUAGAGUAAUUAACCAGACUGUAAAGGAAGACCGGCAGCUUCCAAAUUUAGACAAGAUAGAUUAAAUUGAGAUAUACAAGUAAUUUGCAUGAGGUCAUGGGUUCAAGUCCUGGAAACAGCCUCUUACAGAAAUGUAGGGAAAGGCUGCGUACUAUAGACCCAAAGUGGUCGGACCCUUCCCUGGACCCUGCGCAAGUGGGAGCUACAUGCACCAGGUUGCCCUUAUACAAGUAAUUUACAUCUGCUGUUUCUUAUGGCUGAAAAUAGCAAAACUUAUAUGUAUUAUUGUUCAUAUGCAGAGGAUUUGGUAAAAGAGAACAAGCAAUUUGAUGCUGUAAUUUCUCUUGAGGUAUGAACAUUUUUCGUCCUGUCUUACACCCCUAGCCCCUGCUGUCUUCCAAAGGUCUUUGAUCAAGAAUAGAUUGCCUCCAUAGCUCAUUUACCAUAGCAUUCACUAUCAGAGAGGUGUUUUGGUAAUUCAUUGAUGCGUGAUCCCUUUUAAAACCUUUGUUUGAUAUUGAAGACUGCUUUUAUCAUGUAUUACAGGCAUAUAGGCUAUAGCUUCUGCUAGAAUCAUGUGUUAGGGGGGCUGCUGGCUCUAACCACUCAAAGAAUGGAUACAAUCUAAUAAGGGAUACCAUCCCAUUAGUUAGGACAGUUUGACUUAUAUUUUAUUUGUCAGGGGCAUCAAUACAAAGAGAAGAGCCAUCUGCGCCAUCCAAUCAAUUAAGCUACAAGAAGUUCAUCAAUCUAUUCUGCCUGCAUGUGUAGUCUCCCUCAUUUUUUUGUCGUCUCUCAACCCCUAGAGUCAAGUCAUGUGUUCAUCGAAAAGGAGACACCAGUGCAAAAUAUUGGGAGAACUUUGUGAAUAUCAUAACACAUAACACACUGUAUAAGCUCUUUGUGAAUAGGAUGAUUAAGUACUGUGUGCCUUGCACGUACAGCUUUCUUAACUGAAACUAGUGUACUGGAUCAAAAAUAAGAAUUGCCUUAAUAUCUUUGCAGGUGAUUGAGCACGUCGCCAAUCCUUUGGAGUUCUGCAAAUCUCUAUCAGCUUUGACAGCUCCUAAUGGUGCCACUGUGAUUUCUACAAUCAACCGGUCAAUGAGAGCAUAUGCGGCCGCCAUUGUUGGUGCUGAGUAUAUUCUCAGAUGGGUCAGUCUCAUUGUCCAUUUUGCAUUUUUUUUUUGUUUCAAUUCCUACAGAAGAUUGAUUCACAUAGUUGGUAGUCUAUUAUGUUGGGAGUAAUAUGCCAUUUCACGGUCGCUAGCUUAGCAAAAUCUUGACUCCUGAGAUUGUAAGAUGUCCUAAUGCUAAUGCUCAUGACCCAUGAGCAGUCUCAAGCCAAAAGAAAUGUCGUUCAAUUCAUCAGCCUAACAUAUGGCUUUGUGUAUGCAAAUGGUAGGAAGGGCCGUGUUAUCUUGAUUUUUAAUAUGCAAGGUUGCACAGCUCACAGAUAAACAAAGGUGUAUGGAUAUAUUGAUCUGUAUAGCUGUGUUUGUUGGGCUAGAAUUCAAUAAGGGUUCAGAUCCUCCAAGGAAAUAGAGUGCUAUCAUGUUCAUUUGCAAAAUAAUCAACAACCUGUUUCAACAUAUGCUCAUUCCUACUAAGGUUGAUGCUCCGAUGAAUCUGAAUCAAUGAUACUGUACUCCUAAAGUCUUGAUGGUUUUCUUUGUACUUUUACAGCUUCCUAUAGGCACACAUGAGUGGUCCAAACUAGUCACCCCCGAGGAGCUAGUCCUAGCACUGCAACGAGCCUCAAUCUCCGUAAGCUACUAAUCACUCCCACGCGAUGAUCUUGCCGGCACUUCAUAUAACUGACAGCUUUGACAUCUUGUCUCCAGGUGGAGGAAAUGGCAGGGUUCUUCUACAAUCCGUUGACUAGAGAGUGGUCCCUGUCUGAUGAUACUAGUAUAAACUACAUUGCUUACGGCAUCAAGAAAAGCGAAGCACCCUCAGCGACACCACAGUAGCAAGAUUAGCUAGUCGUGGUUGGAGAGGAUGGAUCGUUUGUGAAUUACUGGAACAAUUUUUGGGAAGCAAAACUUAUGCCACUUAAGAUCUUGGCAGUGAUCACAACCAAGUAGCGGCGAAGAAAGGUUGUACUCCUGGAGUAGUCUUGUUUUCUUUGAGAAGUUGAUGGGAGAGACCAGCUAACAAGUAGUGCUAGUUUAGUUUCCACUGUUUGUAAUAAAUGUAUGCUUCAUACAAGUUCAUCAAGUUUGGGGUAAUCCCCUGAUCUACAUCACAUAAACAGAAAUAUACUACCUCUGGGCAAGCAGGAAAUGUCAAGUCAAGUGAAGGCUAAUGUUUUUUGGUCAUGUUCAUGUCUGCAUUUCUUGUACUUGGUAGAUUGACAAUUUGUUAUGCUAAAUAAAACGGAUUUUCUGGAGGGGAACUCAAAAUAUAUUCUGAAUUUCUUAAGACCAAAGCCAUACUUCCAAUGCCAUUUUUGUGCCGUGAGGAAAUAUAUAAUAGUCAAAUUUUGCUACUCCCUCCGUCCUUUAAAGUGUGUACUUUCUACUUUGUUGGAGGGUCAAACUAUCUCAAAGUUUGUCCAAGUUUGUGAAAAAAAUAUAUCAAUGUUUGUGAAACUAAAUAGAUAUAUGAUGAAAAUAUAUUUUACCAUGAAUCUAAUGUUAAUAAUUUUCCUUUUUUCUGAACAUAGUACAAAUGCAAGCAACUCAUACAUACACGCACACUCAUCCCUCGCACACCCUACCCAUAUGAGCAUCUUCUAAUUUGAUGGCAUAAAUGUUGGUGUAUUAUUGUAUAAAUAUGGUCAAACAUAAAAAAAAUUUGACUUUCAAACAAAGUUGAAAGUACACUCAGGACAGAGGGAAUACUCCUUAACCUGCAAGCUUAUUCUCCAUUGCAGAUUUCCACUCCAUUUCAAACUUAAAACAAGCAAAGUCAGCCUGAUGAAAACAUGAACAUACCAACCACAGGCUUGAGAACAACCACCAACAUAGCAUUCUUCUCUUGUACUAAAAAUUAGUCCUAAUCUCAACCAUGAUAACAUACUGGAAGAGAACCAACCUUACAGUCUCAUAUAUGAUGGAUCCAUACACAUCGGACAUGCAACACUACUAUUAAGGUUCAAACACAAGUACACAAUAUCAUCGCUUGUUUAUUAAACGCAGGAUGAACUGCCUACUAACGGUUCGAUCAGCCAUAAGGCUAACUACAGGGAUGGCUGAAGGUGGCAGCCAAUAACACCAACGCAUUACAGUCAUAGUAGUAAUAACCAUUUCAUUUUGCAACCAGACAUGCUCAUGCACCAUCAUCAUCUUCAACAGUGUUGACGCGCUCGCACUCAUCGAUCCAUUCGCUGUAUCUGCAGGAAAAUUAAUAUGAUCUUCAGUUCCUGGUCUCUGACGUAUUUGCACCAACUCACUAGUCAAGAGUUAUUUGUUGAAUUUGACUUACAUAUCAAUAGGCUCAGUCAGCGCUGCACCAAAGAAAACAGAGAAUUAGUACAAUACCAGAAACAUGUAGGUCAGCAAGGGUAAAAAAUUCUAC
This 10484-nucleotide long non-coding RNA is filed under the name Triticum aestivum (bread wheat). RNAcentral describes it as "long non-coding RNA (TAES_LNC014166)". The record is from RNAcentral. Lineage: Eukaryota; Viridiplantae; Streptophyta; Magnoliopsida; Poales; Poaceae.